AUCUUACCGGAAGUUGUCUUCACUACUUCGGUGGUAUUUCUUAGACCAACAAAUGAGAAUUGAUAAAGCCUCCAGGAUCUUGUGUCGCCCACUUCAACAGAACUUCGCUUCCAUUGAUAAACAAUUUCUUCACGUGGAUAGCCAUCUGCCGUGAGAUAGGAAAGCUCGGAAUAUUACUUACAACUGGAGAACUCCAAGGGGCAGGAGUGUUCAUCCAUUGGAAAGUUGUGCAAUUGUAAUUGGCACUCAGCAUCAAUUGUCAACCUAAGUAGAAUAUUUAACAGAGCCAACUGUUUUAAGAACUUAAGCUCGUUUACUGUUUGCUUGUAAAUGAAUGUUGAUAAUUCUAAGAUCUUAACUGCUAAUUAAUACCUUAGGGUGUAGAGCACUCGACCAUCAUUCCAAAUUCUCAGCAUCCUGUUGGGGGUGGUGAUCCAGUGUGCAUCAGCUUUUUUGGAAUUUCUGAAGAAAGUGUCUGGAAUCCAGAUUUUCCCCACCAUGUUGCUGUUCAAUCGGAGGACUUUAAUGGUGCUGUUAAAUUUCAAACGUCUGUCAUACCACGUUU
Molecule: long non-coding RNA, 565 nt
Filed under: Homo sapiens (human)
Lineage: Eukaryota; Metazoa; Chordata; Mammalia; Primates; Hominidae
Description: HSALNT0097049
Source: RNAcentral